RNAcentral lists this ribosomal RNA (408 nucleotides) under uncultured eukaryote. RNAcentral's name for it is "eukaryotic LSU rRNA". It matches the Rfam family "Eukaryotic large subunit ribosomal RNA", at positions 1210 to 1710 of the family's 3401-position model. The record is from RNAcentral.
UGCCUCCUACGACUCGGCCGCGUCGACAAACGUACUACUUUAUACUCUACCGUUAGAAUAAAUGCUAAAUUCUAACGAGUAGGAGGGCGUAUGGAUAAUUUAGAAGGCUGUCAGUGAUGAUGGCUGGAAUUAUCUUUAGUGCAGAUCUUGGUGGUAGUAGCAAAUAUUCAAUAGAGAACAUUGAAGACUGAAGUGGAGAAAGGUUUCACAUGAACAACACUUGGAUGUGAGGUUAGUCGAUCCUAAACGGUGGGUUAACUCCGAAUACAUGAAUACUUGUAUUCUGUACCGUGAAAGGGAAACAGGUUAAUAUUCCUGUACUAUAUCAAGGAGGUAAAAUGGUAACAUAAAUGAACCCAAAUACAUCAGUAGAAUAACCAGGAAGAGUUCUCUUUUCUUUUUAACAAC